AUGAAUAAUCAAGGAAUUCCAGUUAAUCCUAUCAGAGUAAAUCUUGGUGAUGCAGUUGAGCUACAACAGUCGAGAGUAGCUGGUGGGGAAAAUCGGGGUCUAGCUGAAAAUCAAUUGGGAGAUGCAGUGAGGGUGCACGGUCCACCAGGCCCACAACUGCAUGACAACUACAGGGGCAACGUCAAUAUUGCUGACUCUGAUGGACCUCUAGUCUUACCCCCUUUGCCUCCGGGGCACACAUUUGUGGUAACCAGUAGCUUAAUGCAGAUGCUUACAGUGAGGGGCUUGUUCUUAUGGUUGCUAUCGGAGGACCCACAUGCUCACAUAGCAAAGAUAAGGGUGGUCUGCAAGAGCUGUGUAGGUCGACCAGACUUGGAUAUGGAUGUCAUCGGAUUGAGAGUGUUCCCUCUAUCACUGACAGGCGAUGUUGCUAUAUGGUUCACUGGGCUUCCUUAUAACUCAAUCUAUACAUGGAACCAACUGAGGGAUAUGUUCUUAGCAAGGUAUUAUCCAGUGUCCAAGAAGCUCAAUCACAAAGAUAAGGUCAAUAAUUUUGUGCCAUUACCUGGAGAGUCUGUGAGUAGCUCAGGGGACUUAUUCACUUCGUUCAUAAGAGGUGUUUCGGAUCACCGUAUUGAUGAUGAGUUGCUGAAGGAACAUUUCUAUCGAGGUCAGGAUGAUAACAAUAAAACAUCUGCGGAUGAGAUUCGUGAAGAGAUGGUUCAGAUGAGGACCGAGUUGGGGUUUGUAUUGAAGCAUGUCAGCGGAGGUGCAGAAAAUCAGCUUUCCAUCAACGUUCCGUUGAUAGAAGCUUUAGAGAAGAUGCCUGGGUAUGCAAAGUUUAUGAAAGAUAUGGUAGCAAAGAAGAGGUCUGUAAGUUUUGAAGAUGAUGAUAAAUUGCAUCAUUGUAGGGCUAUUGCUACAAGGUCUCUUGUGCAAAAGAAAGGGGAUCCUGGUUCCUUCACAAUUCCAUCUCUUAAUUGGAAAUGGGAAGAUGCAAAAGAUGUGAAGGGAAGUUCUCCCCAAGAAUGUGCUCCUAAACCUGAAGUUUCUGUUCCGAAGGAGGAUCACUCACAUAGGGCAACUCCAACUAGGCAACAUAUGAAUGAAACAGCAAACUCUGAAAUUCAGGAGCCCUACCAUUAAAUCUGAUGGAGCAGGUGACAUUUCUAAAAACAGGAAGUGUUCAAUCAGCUGUGCCAACAGUUCAGCAGGAAGCCUCACCUAAACUGGUAGAGGAUCUGAAAUCGUUAGAGCCUCCAACAGCUCUCUCAGAAGCCAGUUCAUCGUCUAUAUUGGAUGCAAAAGCAAGUGAUUCAUUGCAGCAAUCAUCUGAUGGUGGUUGCGGUGGUGGUCUUUUGAAUCAACUGAAUCAUACUACUGAUGGACCAACAGAAGAGCAUGAUGCUUCACCUUUAUUAACCAUGAAUUCAAACCCUGCAUCCCUAAAAGAGGAAAACCAAAAAGAAUCUUCUGACCACAUACAAUCUGAUCCUUUAAAAGGAGAAAAAAAUAACGUCUCACUACUUCAACAAGAUUAUUCUCCAAGUAUUUCUCAUGUUUCUGCUGAAACAACUUCUUCAUCCACUCAAGAACAAAAACACAAAUAUAAUAUUCAUGUAGAGGUACCUAACACUGUUCAGUCCCUAACCAAGGCUUCCUGUCUCACAGUUAAGAUUCCAGAACCCAGUGCCAAUUCUAAGCACCCUAAUAACUCUGUUAUUAACAGAGUUAAAAUUGACACAGCAGCACCAAUUGAAUCUGUGAAGCAGGCAGUUUCCAAGUUUGGAGGCAUUGUUGACUGGAAGGCUCAUCGAGUACAGACUGUGGAGAGAAGGAAAGUUGUCGAUCAAGAAUUAGCGAAUGUGCAGGAAGAGAUCCCAUUUGUACAAGAAACAGUCUCAGGCUGCAGAAGGAGCAAAAAUGAUGGUGUUGAAGGAACUAGAUAGCACUAAAAGACUGAUAGAAGAGUUGAAGCUGAACCUGGAGAGAGCACAAACCGAAGAACAACAAGCGAAACAGGACUCAGAACUUGCCAAACUCAGGGUAGAAGAGAUGGAGCAGGGAAUUGCUGAUGAGGCUAGUAUUGCAGCCAAGGCGCAGCUUGAAGUUGCUAAAGCAAGGCAUGAAGCAGCAGUUUUGGAGCUAAACACUGUGGAUUAUGAGUUGAAAAGAUCUGCAUAAAGAGUAUGAUUUAUUGGUGUCAGAGAGAUAUGAUGCUGUGCAAAAAGCAGAGGAAGCGGUUUCUGCCUCAAAGAAAGUUGAGAAAGAAGUGGGAGUAUUUGACUAUUGAGCUCAUCACUACAAAGGAAUCUUUAGAAGCUGCACAAACUGCACAUUUGGAGGUGGAGGAACACAGAAUUGGAGCUGCUAUGGCAAGAGAGCAAGAUACUCUAACAUGGGAGAAAGAACUAAAGCAGGCAGAAGAUGAGCUUGAGAAGCUAAACCAGCAAAUACUGUCUUCGAAGGAUCUCAAAGCAAAAUUAUACACUGCUUCAGCUUUGCUACUGGAUCUCAAAGCUGAGUUUGCUGCUUACAUGGAAUCAAAGUUGAAACAAGAGACUGUUGAAGAUGGCAAUUUUGGCGAACUGUCAGAGCCAGAGAAAAGAACUCAUGCCAAGAUACAAGCAGCGGUUGCCUUGGCUACACGGGAACUUGAAGAGGUGAAACUCAACAUCGAGAAAGCAACAGAUGAUGUAAAUUGCUUGAAGGUUGCUGCAACUUCAUUGAAGGCAGAAUUAGAUAAAGAAAAAUCAGAACUAGCUUCCAUCCAGCAGAGAGAAGGCAUGGCAUCAAUUGCUGUAGCAUCUCUUGAGACGGAGUUGAACAGGACCAAGUCAGAGAUUGCCCUUGUGCAGAUGAAAGAGAAAGAAGCAAGAGAAAAGGUUGUGGAGCUUCCCAAGAAAUUGCAAGAGGCUGCCCAAGAGGCUGAUCUGGCAAAGUCACUUGCACAAACAGCUCGUGAAGAGUUGAGAAAGGCAAAGGAAGAAGCAGAGCAAGCAAAGGCAGGAGCAAGUACCAUGGAAAGUAGACUAAUUGCUGCUAAUAAGGAGAUAGAAGCUGCAAAAGCUUCUGAGAAGUUGGCGCUAGAAGCCAUCAAUGCUCUGCAAGAGAGUGAAUUAGCUCGAAGCACCAAUGAUGAAGAUUCCCCAUCUGGAGUAACACUUUCUCUUGAAGAAUAUUAUGAUCUCAGCAAGCUGGCCCAUGAGGCGGAGGAGCAAGCUAAUAAGAGGGUGGCUGCUGCUAUCACCCAAAUUGAAGUAUUCAAGGAAUCAGAACUGAGAAGUCUAAGCAGGCUGGAGGAGGUUAAUCAUGAGAUGACCACUAGAAAGGAAGGUCUGGAAAUUGCAAUGAAGAAGGCAGAGAAAGCCAAGGAAGGGAAAUUGGCAGUGGAGCAAGAGCUGAGGAAAUGGAGGGCUGAGCAUGGGCAAAGGCGGAAAGCUGGUGAAUCUCUUCCACUGAUAAACACUACCAGAAGCCCGAGAACGAGCUUUGAGGAGAGUAAAGCAUCGAAAACCUAUGAGAGUGCACCAGAGGUUGCUUCACUACAUCAUAGGUCAAGUCCAAGAGCAUAUGAGCAAGGAAGUAAUACUGAAACUGAUACAUCUCCAGAAGUGAAGAUCCCAAAGAAAAAGAAAAGGUCCUUCUUCCCAAGGCUCUUGAUGCUUCUGGGAAGAAAGAAAUCACAGGCCAAGACAGCAUGAUGUGCUUUGGGGUUUUAGGAGAAUCUCCCUCAUGUUAUACAACUGUCCCUUUAUUUUUCUGGUUAUUUUUCUUGGUUGACGGAGUGUAAAUUCUCACUGCUUUUUCUGUAUACAUCUCGCAUCAUGUAUAGUACAAUAUCAAAAUACUUCUCUCACCUUUUGGAGGGCUGUUUAUAGAACAGAGUAAGAUUGUUAUAGGUUUGGCCGAGUCAAUAAAGUGAUUCUGUAAGUAAAUCAUCUGCUGCUUCAACUGUUAUAUCCUGCUAGUUCUCAGAUUCUGAAAUAUUGGGUUUCUUGGCAGUAUGGGUUGUAUAAUUCUAGUAUUUUCUAAUUUUU
RNA transcript from Solanum verrucosum, 4040 nucleotides. It is a transcript of the gene named protein WEAK CHLOROPLAST MOVEMENT UNDER BLUE LIGHT 1-like, with no coding region annotated. The record is from RefSeq and is a predicted model, not a curated record. The transcript is spliced from 5 exons. Lineage: Eukaryota; Viridiplantae; Streptophyta; Magnoliopsida; Solanales; Solanaceae.